UGGUUGACCUCGGAUCAGGUAGGGAUACCCGCUGAACUUAAGCAUAUCAAUAAGCGGAGGAAAAGAAACCAACAGGGAUUGCCUCAGUAACGGCGAGUGAAGCGGCAAAAGCUCAAAUUUGAAAUCUGGCUCUUUCAGGGUCCGAGUUGUAAUUUGUAGAAGAUGCUUCGGGUGUGGUCCCGGUCUAAGUUCCUUGGAACAGGACGUCAUAGAGGGUGAGAAUCCCGUAUGUGACUGGGUACCUACGCUCAUGUGAAGCUCUUUCGACGAGUCGAGUUGUUUGGGAAUGCAGCUCAAAAUGGGUGGUAAAUUUCAUCUAAAGCUAAAUAUUGGCCAGAGACCGAUAGCGCACAAGUAGAGUGAUCGAAAGAUGAAAAGCACUUUGGAAAGAGAGUUAAACAGUACGUGAAAUUGUUGAAAGGGAAGCGCUUGCAAUCAGACUUGCGCCUAGUUGAUCAUCCGGGCUUCUGCCCGGUGCACUCGAUUAGGCUCAGGCCAGCACCGGUUUGGGUGGUUGGAUAAAGGCUUGGGGAACGUAGCCUCCUUCGGGGGGUGUUAUAGCCCCAGGUGCAAUGCAGCCUACCUGGACCGAGGACCGCGCUUCGGCUAGGAUGCUGGCGUAAUGGUUGUAAGCGACCCGUCUUGAAACACGGACCAAGGAGUCUAACAUUUAUGCGAGUGUUUGGGUGUUAAACCCAUACGCGUAAUGAAAGUGAACGGAGGUAAGAACCCUUAAGGGUGCAUUAUCGACCGAUCCUGAUGUCUUCGGAUGGAUUUGAGUAAGAGCAUAACUGUUGGGACCCGAAAGAUGGUGAUCUAUACGUGAAUAGGGUGAAGCCAGAGGAAACUCUGGUGGAGGCUCGCAGCGGUUCUGACGUGCAAAUCGAUCGUCAAAUUUGCGUAUAGGGGCGAAAGACUAAUCGAACCAUCUAGUAGCUGGUUCCUGCCGAAGUUUCCCUCAGGAUAGCAGUGUUGU
Molecule: ribosomal RNA, 976 nt
Filed under: uncultured Ascomycota
Lineage: Eukaryota; Fungi; Ascomycota
Description: eukaryotic LSU rRNA
Rfam family: Eukaryotic large subunit ribosomal RNA
Source: RNAcentral